RNAcentral lists this ribosomal RNA (586 nucleotides) under Candacia pachydactyla. Its description in RNAcentral is "partial large subunit ribosomal RNA". It matches the Rfam family "Eukaryotic large subunit ribosomal RNA", at positions 282 to 762 of the family's 3401-position model. The record is from RNAcentral. Lineage: Eukaryota; Metazoa; Arthropoda; Copepoda; Calanoida; Candaciidae.
GCUGCCCAAAGUGCGAGGUAAACUCCUCGUAAGGCUAAAUACAACCCCAAUACCGAUAGCAAACAAGUACAGUGAUGGAAAUUUGAAAAGAACUUUGAAGAGAGAGUUAAGAGUACGUGAAACUGUAUGGUAGUAAACGCAGCCUUCCUCGAAGUUUCCUCGUGUGGAUCCAGCCUAAGAGCGGCGGGUGCCCCGGUCUGUGCUGAGCAGCAAUGCCNGCUGGNCUGGGUGGUCUGCCUGUCGUGUCGCGGGUGCAUCUUCACACGUUGUUACUGUAGGAACCGUUGGCGCCUGCUCCAAAGGCCUGGGAUGAAGUUUCAACUGUCUGUAGUGGGCGGUCGAAGCUCCCGGUGUCCUGGCGGCGGGCCCGACGGGCAUUAUGGCCGACUUGUAUAGCAAGCAACCGCUGCUGUUGCGGUUGGCCAUUCCCUACAGAGUAGGUCGGCGGAGGCUGCGACCCGUCUUGAAACACGGACCAAGGAGUCUAACAUGUGUGCGAGUUUUUGGGUUGUCUAAACCCGGAAGCGCAGUGAAAGCAAAGGGCUGCCCGUCAGCCUUAGGGGAGAUCCUUAACCGGCGCAUCCCC